This 919-nucleotide unclassified non-coding RNA is filed under the name uncultured Sporadotrichida. RNAcentral's name for it is "sequence contains 18S rRNA gene, ITS1, 5.8S rRNA gene, ITS2, 28S rRNA gene". The stretch from base 505 to 919 matches the Rfam family "Eukaryotic large subunit ribosomal RNA", at positions 1 to 418 of the family's 3401-position model. Lineage: Eukaryota; Ciliophora; Spirotrichea; Sporadotrichida. The record is from RNAcentral.
GGAAGGAUCAUUAACACUAAUCCAAACAACUCAAUGAAGCCUUCAGUUGCAGCAGUUACACCGCUAGCGAAAGCAGGCAGUGGCGCUGCUGCAGCACCAAACAAACUAAACUACGCAAAGGAGCCUAACUAAGCUCAAAAUUAAAACCAAAUUCUCAACGAUGGAUAUCUUGGUUCCCAUAACGAUGAAGAACGCAGCGAAGUGCGAUAAGCAAUGCGAAUUGCAGAACCGUGAGUCAUCAGAUUUUUGAACGCAACUGGCGCUGGCUGGGUCUCCAGCCAGCAUGCUUGUUUCAGUGUCUUGUUUUCUCCUCACCCAAAUCUUAAUGCGAGAGAUACCCUUCUCUUGUCAAACAUGAAAGCACUCUGCGCUCUGCGGGCGGUUUCCUCAGCUUGCUGUGGACCGCACUCAAUGCAGCCGUCACAUUGCUUACAAUGUGAACUCGUUGAGAGUAGAGGUAGUUGCAGCGAUUGCUGCCUGUGCUUAGCCACUCAAACUUUUCUUGCAUCUGAAAUCAAGCAGGACCACCCGCUGAACUUAAGCAUAUCACUAAGCGGAGGAAAAGAAAUUAACUAAGAUUGCCUCAGUAACGGCGAGUGAAGCGGCAAGAGCCCAAACUGUAAAUCUUCACACUGCGUGUGACGAAUUGUAAUCUAAAGAUGGUUCGCUUACCGGGCGGUGGCGCAGAAGUGCCCUAGAACGGGCCGCCAGAGAGGGUGACAGCCCCGUACGUGGUGCCACUGCCUAACAAGCGGGUCUUCGAAGAGUCGGGUUGUUUUGUAUUGCAGCCCUAAGUGGGAGAUAAACUUCUUCUAAGGCUAAAUAUAUAUGGGAAACCGAUAGCGAACAAGUACUGUGAAGGAAAGAUGAAAAGAACUUUGAAAAGAGAGUCAAAAGACUUGAAAUCGUUGAGAAGGAA